RNAcentral lists this ribosomal RNA (468 nucleotides) under uncultured bacterium. RNAcentral describes it as "partial 16S ribosomal RNA". It matches the Rfam family "Bacterial small subunit ribosomal RNA", at positions 28 to 507 of the family's 1533-position model. The record is from RNAcentral.
GACGAACGCUGGCGGCGUGCUUAACACAUGCAAGUCGAACGGAAAGGCCCUGCUUUUGUGGGGUGCUCGAGUGGCGAACGGGUGAGUAACACGUGAGUAACCUGCCCUUGACUUUGGGAUAACUUCAGGAAACUGGGGCUAAUACCGGAUAGGAGCUCCUGCUGCAGGGUGGGGGUUGGAAAGUUUCGGCGGUUGGGGAUGGACUCGCGGCUUAUCAGCUUGUUGGUGGGGUAGUGGCUUACCAAGGCUUUGACGGGUAGCCGGCCUGAGAGGGUGACCGGCCACAAUAGGACUGAGGUACGGACCAGACUCCAACGGGGGACAGCAGUGGGGAGUAUGGCACAAUGAGCGGGAGCCUGAUACGGCAGCGCCCCGUGCGGAAUGACGGCCUUCGGGUUAUGAACCGCUUUCGCCUGAGACGAAGCGUGGGUGACGGUAAUGGAUAAAGAAGCACCGGCUAACUACGUG